AUGUAUACAAUUACUACGAAUCGUUUAAUGUAAUUUUGUAGACUUUUUCCUGUUAUUAUGCAUUUCAUGCCUUUGUGGAAAUAAUUGCUUCUGUACUUUGUUCGAAAUUGAUCAUUGAUUGUAUUGUAUUAUAUUUUAUGGAACGGUACUCACAU
Molecule: long non-coding RNA, 155 nt
Organism: Haliotis rubra (blacklip abalone)
Lineage: Eukaryota; Metazoa; Mollusca; Gastropoda; Lepetellida; Haliotidae
Exons: 5
Source: RefSeq, a predicted model, not a curated record